UCUCCUUCGGGAGAACGGAAGGACGCUUGUGGCCUACGCUACCACAGAGUUCAACACGACUGAAAUGACUUAGCCCUCACUUUCAGUUGCCAAGUCUUGUCCGACUGUUAUUGCUAUACCAUGGACUGUAGCCUGCCAGGCUCUUGCGUUUUUGGGAUUUCCCAGCUGUUGAUUCUAGAAUACCAUUUAACUGGUGAAGACAGCAGGCAUUUAUGUCAUGUUUGACUUUAAGGAAAUACACCCACUAUUUCAGCAGAAUUCUCUAUAAAUGAACUCUGUGGUGCUGGAAAAAACUCUUGAGAGUUCCUUGGACAGCAAGGAAAUCAAACCAGUCAAUCUGAAAGGAAAUCAACCCUGAAGAUUCAUCGGAAGGACUGAUGCUGAAGCUGAACCUCUGAUAC
Bubalus bubalis (water buffalo) is the source of this 401-nucleotide long non-coding RNA. RefSeq lists it as uncharacterized. The record is from RefSeq and is a predicted model, not a curated record. The transcript is spliced from 4 exons. NCBI's taxonomy places the organism in Eukaryota, Metazoa, Chordata, Mammalia, Artiodactyla, Bovidae.